GCGGGAACAGCGGGGGCGCGCACCGCCUGGGCGGGGAUAACCGGGAGGACCCGAAAGGCCCCGGAAAGGGGCUCGCGGGGAGAAACGCGUCCGGCGCUCGCGAGACCUCCUGCCGUUAGAGCAUUUUCGCAAGGAGCCGGAGCGAAAGGGAUCAAACUUCGGUCAGCAGUUCACCUUCACGUUGUAUUCUCAAGAUUUGUAUACAGUAGGCACUUGGUAAAUGCUAAAUGAAUAUUGUAAUAGCGUUCGUUAGCGAUGCUGUUGUGUAUGGUAAAAGCCUGCAGCUGUACAAAGUUUUCCUUUGCCAGGCACUGAUCCCAGCAUUUUACAUCUGGUAACUAAAUCGAUCCUCUCAAUAACCUGUGAGGCAGAUAUGGGGCAUUAUAGAGGCAUAGCAACAAGGAAUACUGUCUCCAGGAGAAUGGAAAAUUACCAUGGGCUCCAGUCUGAGGCUUCUUCCUGAUCCACCAAGUUCCUGAGAAAAUAAGAUGGGAAGAAGGAGACAGCGCUCCCUGCUGUGGGUUCCCAGCUUGCUCUCAUCUCCAACUCACUAUGAAAUGCAAACUUACUUUCUGCUUCAAGGAACCGUAAGUUCCUUCUGAAAUGACCGUGGGCACAGAAGAAUAAAAUGCAACACAAUGUCUGGACUAUCAA
Long non-coding RNA from Gorilla gorilla gorilla (western lowland gorilla), 654 nucleotides. RefSeq lists it as uncharacterized. The record is from RefSeq and is a predicted model, not a curated record. The transcript is spliced from 2 exons. Lineage: Eukaryota; Metazoa; Chordata; Mammalia; Primates; Hominidae.